This is a long non-coding RNA of Drosophila navojoa, 126 nucleotides long. Lineage: Eukaryota; Metazoa; Arthropoda; Insecta; Diptera; Drosophilidae. The record is from RefSeq and is a predicted model, not a curated record.
UUUAAGUGCAAUUCUUCUGGGUUGCCGUUCACAUUUGUCCUUGGUACUGAAAAAACUCGUAAUGACCAGGAUUCCUCUGAUCUAUUUGCAGAUUUUUUUCAAUCCACUUUUCGUGCUGGCAAUAUU